UUAGGAUGUCUAUGGAUUAAUUCGAAAAUCAGGAUGCUGUCGACGAAUUGAUCCUAGUGGGGAUAUUAGAUUUUAAUAAUUUAGUUAUUUUUAAUUCGACAAAAUUUUGAUUUAAAAUAUGAUAUUUGACGUAUCAGGUUCUGAGAAGAAUUUUCGAGAUCCAUAGAAUUUCUAGUUUGGACUUUCUUUUGAGGUAAGU
This 199-nucleotide long non-coding RNA is filed under the name Elaeis guineensis (African oil palm). RNAcentral describes it as "long non-coding RNA (EGUI_LNC066547)". Lineage: Eukaryota; Viridiplantae; Streptophyta; Magnoliopsida; Arecales; Arecaceae. The record is from RNAcentral.